AUCCAGCUGACGAGUCCCAAAUAGGACGUAAUGCGCGUUCUGUAU
This 45-nucleotide non-coding RNA is filed under the name Trichobilharzia regenti. Lineage: Eukaryota; Metazoa; Platyhelminthes; Trematoda; Strigeidida; Schistosomatidae. The record is from RNAcentral.